UUCUCUUCCAGGUGCAGCUCAGUUGCCAUGAUGCUCCUUGAGUCAAUGAGCUCUUUGGUCUGCUCUUCUGCUCGAGCAGAAAAUGAUCUGUGCUUCACCCUUGAGAAGCUGACAAGAACCACAGGCUUUUUCAGGCAGGUGGUGGAACAUGGGUAUAUCCUUCAGGCUCUAGCCUGAUUUUCUGGUUCAUAAGGCCAAAGGGAGCUGGAAAGAUCCCUGCGGCAGGACUCAUGGUGGAGAGAGAAUGGUCUAGAGGAUUCAGGCCUCUGCACACUGUGUCUGGGUCCCUCCUUAAAGAAUGAUAAAGAUGAGUAAAGAGCUUGAAGCAGCCUGGAGUCCAGCCAGAAACCUUUAACUGAGCUUUAAAGGAGAUGGUCACAACACUUUUCAGAAUACUGGCAAAGGCCUCCUGUGGCCCGGUUUGUCCUGGGAUGAGCAAAAUUUAAUAAAGUUAACCUGCUGUAUCUUUGCUUUUAAUAUAUCUGCUUGCCCAUCACAA
RNAcentral lists this long non-coding RNA (499 nucleotides) under Pongo abelii (Sumatran orangutan). Its description in RNAcentral is "lincRNA". The record is from RNAcentral. Lineage: Eukaryota; Metazoa; Chordata; Mammalia; Primates; Hominidae.